CGAAGGCCUUGGCCUAUUUAUCCCGGUUAUCUUUAAACCAGUACCCUUUCAUGGUUUCACAAGCCCUGAAGUAUGUCAUAUUGCUGAUCAUUGAUUAGCCAUUCCACACUCAAAUACGUUCUCAAGCUUUGUCCAAUCCUUGCAUCCUGUCUCAGACCCGGGUUUGUUCCUGACACUUUGGCUUAUCAUGUAUCCAGUGUACCACACCUUUUAAAUUCUAU
Molecule: non-coding RNA, 221 nt
Organism: Pelobates cultripes (western spadefoot toad)
Lineage: Eukaryota; Metazoa; Chordata; Amphibia; Anura; Pelobatidae
Source: the annotation of a GenBank genome assembly